Molecule: ribosomal RNA, 494 nt
Filed under: uncultured bacterium
Lineage: Bacteria
Description: partial 16S ribosomal RNA
Rfam family: Bacterial small subunit ribosomal RNA
Source: RNAcentral
GACGAACGCUGGCGGCGCGCUUAACACAUGCAAGUCGAACGGAAAGGCCUGCUUUCCCUUGUGGAUUGCGGGUACUCGAGUGGCGAACGGGUGAGUAACACGUGAGUGAUCUGCCCCCAACUUGGGUAUAAGCCUGGGAAACUGGGUCUAAUUCCCGAUAGGACUGCAGGGUGGUGCCUGUGGUGGAAAACGAUUUUCUAGUGGUUGGGGAUGAGCUCGCGGCCUAUCAGCUUGUUGGUGGGGUAAUGGCCUACCAAGGCGGCGACGGGUAGCCGGCCUGAGAGGGUGGACGGCCACAUUGGGACUGGGAUACGGCCCAGACUCGUACGGGAGGCAGCAGUGGGGAAUAUUGCACAAUGGGCGGAAGCCUGAUGCAGCGACGCCGCGUGGGGGAUGACGGCCUUCGGGUUGUAAACUCCUUUCGACCGCGAGGAAGCCACCUGGUUGGAAGGGUGGUGACGGUAGUGGUAGAAGAAGCACCGGCUAACUACGUG